UCGCCUGUUUUUCAAAAACAUAGUUUUAUGAUUAUAUAUAUAUAAAAUAUUUUCUGCCCAGUGUCAAUUGAUAAAUGGCCGCAGUACCUUGACUGUGCUAAGGUAGCAUAAUCAAUUGGCUUUUAAUUGAAGUCUAGAAUGAAUGGGAUAAUGGAAUUUAGCUGUCUUGAUUUUUUUAAUAAAAAUUUAUUUAUAAGGUGAAAAUACCUUAAACUAUAAUAAAGACGAGAAGACCCUAUGAAUUUUUAAAUUUUUUUUUGUUGGGGCGACAGUUUAAAAUAUAAAUCUUAAAUUUUAAUAUAUAACGAUUUUUUUAAUAAAAAUUAAAUUACCUUAGGGAUAACAGCAUUAUUAUUUAAAUAGUUUGUGACCUCGAUGUUGGACUAGGAACUAAAAGGCUAACCGUCUUUAUAGAUUUGUUCUGUUCGAACAAUUUUAUCCUACGUGAUCUGAGUUCAGACCGGA
Molecule: ribosomal RNA, 465 nt
Filed under: Gyraulus sp. clade A TS-2018
Lineage: Eukaryota; Metazoa; Mollusca; Gastropoda; Planorbidae
Description: partial 16S ribosomal RNA
Rfam family: Bacterial large subunit ribosomal RNA
Source: RNAcentral